RNAcentral lists this long non-coding RNA (951 nucleotides) under Medicago truncatula (barrel medic). Its description in RNAcentral is "long non-coding RNA (MTRU_LNC002090)". Lineage: Eukaryota; Viridiplantae; Streptophyta; Magnoliopsida; Fabales; Fabaceae. The record is from RNAcentral.
AAUGUUCUUCCUUCUGACUCAAUGGCCAUUAGUGGCAAUUCAACUGAAAUACUAUUAUAAUUUGGAGUGUUCUCAGCCUCAUUUAUGGUUUGUUUUUCCUCUUUUCUCUCGGAGCUUUCAGACGAUGUAAGAGAACUUUCUAAAGAACACAUAGUUCCUCUAUUUUGUUUCCUCUCACCGAAGUUUAAACUAAAACCUCUUGUUUCUGUCAGUUCUGAAAGUGGAGAACUAGGACAUGCAUUGUUGAUUAUUGAUAAUAACUGAGAAAGUUCAGCUUUAGCAUGUUCUACACCCGUUGUCGAAGAAGAAGAACUAUAUCCUGCAAGUGCUUCCUGUGCCUUCAUUAGUACUGAUUGUAAGUACUUUCCUUGAGCUUCAAUUCUAAACUGUAAAUGUUUCUGCACCUGAAAUCAUGUUUCAAACUGAUUAACAUGUUCUUGUUCAUCACUUGAAGUCUAGAUUGGAAUGAGUAUUGAUCAUAAUUUAUAAAUGUUACCUCAAUUUGUUCAUAAAGUUUCUUUUGUACUUCCAUUUGUACUUCAAGAGCCUCAGCAAUCUUCAAGCUUCUAGAAUACGCAAAACAUUUAAUCAAUAAAUACUUAAAACAUCAACAAAAGAUGCUCAAAUAUUUGCUCAAUAUCAAAUUAACUAUUACUCAGUAGUUUGGUUCUGGUUUCCAACACUGAUUUCUCUACUGCAUUGACCAUCACUGUUUUGGAUUUCUAUGUAAUCUGCACCAUGAAUCAAUAACUCAAGAUUAUGCCAAAUCAGAAAAAUACCAAUCAUUCUAUCACUGUUAUACAAUAACUCACCUUGUUUGUUGUCAGAACAGGUUUCUACCAGUUGGCUUUUGCCAAGUCUAUAUUUCUGUAAUAACCAGAAAAUCAAAUAAGCUCAAACUCUUAUAGUUUUUGGAUUCAGUGUAGGAAAAAGAUUAUGAUACCUGUAAAU